UUAAUUGAUGACUUGUAUGAAGGAUUGGAUGAAAUAUAAACUGUCUCUUAAUUAUAUUUAGAAUUUAAUUUUUUAGUUAAAAAGUUAAAAUAAAUUAGAAAGACGAGAAGACCCUAUAGAGUUUUAUAGAAAAAAUUAAUUGAGAUUAUUUGUAAAGGUUAAAAUUAAAAUUAAUUUAUUUAUUUUGUUGGGGUGACAGAAAAAUAUGAAAAACUUUUUAUAUGUUUAAAACAUUAAUAAGUGGUUAAAUGAUCCAGUAUUAUUGAUUAUAAGAAAAAAUUACCUUAGGGAUAACAGCGUAAUUUUUUUUUUUAGUUCACAUAAAAAAAAAAGUUUGCGACCUCGAUGUUGGAUUAAGAUAAAAUUUAAAUGCAGAAG
This 378-nucleotide ribosomal RNA is filed under the name Sesamia nonagrioides (Mediterranean corn borer). Its description in RNAcentral is "partial 16S ribosomal RNA". The record is from RNAcentral. Lineage: Eukaryota; Metazoa; Arthropoda; Insecta; Lepidoptera; Noctuidae.